AGAGAAUGUUUCAUUGCAGUGUUUCUCAACCUUUUUGAGAUCAGAAACCAGCUUGCUGUCUUCCUAAACCAUGUCAAGGAGAUCUCAGUGACUGGUUCCAAAUCAACAGACCAAUCAUUGAGAAACACUGGCCUAGUGGAUACAGCACUGCACUGGGACUCAGAA
This is a long non-coding RNA of Gopherus evgoodei (Goodes thornscrub tortoise), 165 nucleotides long. RefSeq lists it as uncharacterized. The record is from RefSeq and is a predicted model, not a curated record. The transcript has 3 exons. Lineage: Eukaryota; Metazoa; Chordata; Testudines; Testudinidae.